Molecule: transfer RNA, 81 nt
Filed under: Cavia porcellus (domestic guinea pig)
Lineage: Eukaryota; Metazoa; Chordata; Mammalia; Rodentia; Caviidae
Rfam family: tRNA
About the family: Transfer RNA (tRNA) molecules are approximately 80 nucleotides in length. Their secondary structure includes four short double-helical elements and three loops (D, anti-codon, and T loops).
Source: Rfam by way of RNAcentral
GGGAAUUUAGCUCAACGGCCUAAGCACCUGCCUUGCAAGCAGGCGGUUGGGGGGGGGGGUAAAAAUAAAAUUUAAUUGCCA